RNAcentral lists this ribosomal RNA (429 nucleotides) under Gemmatimonadota bacterium. RNAcentral describes it as "Gemmatimonadetes bacterium partial 16S ribosomal RNA". It matches the Rfam family "Bacterial small subunit ribosomal RNA", at positions 355 to 776 of the family's 1533-position model. The record is from RNAcentral. Lineage: Bacteria; Pseudomonadati; Gemmatimonadota.
UAGGGAAUCUUCGGCAAUGGACGAAAGUCUGACCGAGCAACGCCGCGUGAGUGAAGAAGGUUUUCGGAUCGUAAAACUCUGUUGUUAGAGAAGAACAAGGACGUUAGUAACUGAACGUCCCCUGACGGUAUCUAACCAGAAAGCCACGACUAACUACGUGCCAGCAGCCGCGGUAAUACGUAGGUGGCAAGCGUUGUCCGGAUUUAUUGGGCGUAAAGCGAGCGCAGGCGGUUUCUUAAGUCUGAUGUGAAAGCCCCCGGCUCAACCGGGGAGGGUCGUUGGAAACUGGGAGACUUGAGUGCAGAAGAGGAGAGUGGAAUUCCAUGUGUAGCGGUGAAAUGCGUAGAUAUAUGGAGGAACACCAGUGGCGAAGGCGGCUCUCUGGUCUGUAACUGACGCUGAGGCUCGAAAGCGUGGGGAGCAAACAGG